CCGACUACCGGCGCCGUGWCCCUUCGACCCUGUGACUUUGUUACCGAUGCCUUUCAAGUGCUUGCGUGCUGGUACCCGAACUACGGGAAGUGGUGCURUGUACAUGUUGCCUCGCGGUGGACGCCUCCGGGUGUGCUGCUGCGGCCAUAUGGCGGUUGCGGCGUUGCCUCGUUGUGCCGACACAUUUACGUGUCUGGUUCUAUCAAGGCAACCUUGCUCCCGCUGUUGGUUUCGGAUGUUGCCCACGAUGAAGUCUCAUGGCCCUUUUGGUUGCCUAGAGCCGACGCUAACAAGCUCUCCGAAUUGAGAACAACCGGAACAGGUGUUGCCUCUACCUCUCCACAGUUAGUGGUAGGAUACGCAACAUUUUGUGCCGAUCCUCAUAAAAGUAGGACGAGCUUAAGCCCGCUCCGAAUUGAGAACAACCGGAACAGGUGUUGCCUCUACCUCUCCACAGUUAGUGGUAGGAUACGCAACAUUUUGUGCCGAUCCUCAUAAAAGUAGGACGAGCUUAGCCCGCUCAAAUGCGACAACUGGCCMGGCUGUUGCCUCUGGCUUGACACGAAAGUGGAUGGACGGACAACUGCCGACGCUGGACGUCAAAGAGGACGUGCUACCUGGUUGAUCCUGCCAGUAGU
Molecule: unclassified non-coding RNA, 638 nt
Filed under: Hyalopodium araraticum
Lineage: Eukaryota; Viridiplantae; Streptophyta; Magnoliopsida; Poales; Poaceae
Description: Catabrosella araratica contains 3' external transcribed spacer, ETS
Source: RNAcentral